Molecule: ribosomal RNA, 811 nt
Filed under: uncultured Pseudomonadota bacterium
Lineage: Bacteria; Pseudomonadati; Pseudomonadota
Description: bacterial SSU rRNA
Rfam family: Bacterial small subunit ribosomal RNA
Source: RNAcentral
AAAGUUCCCUUCGGGGAGCAAGUAGAGUGGCGCACGGGUGAGUAACACGUAGGUAAUCUACCUUUGGAUGGGGAAUAACAACCGGAAACGGUUGCUAAUACCGCAUAAUGCAGCGGCGCCUAAUGGUGACAGUUGUUAAAGCGGGGGAUCGCAAGACCUCGCGUCUAAAGAGGAGCCUGCGGCGGAUUAGCUAGUUGGUAGGGUAAUGGCCUACCAAGGCAACGAUCCGUAGCCGGCCUGAGAGGGCGGUCGGCCACACUGACACUGACAUACGGGUCAGACUCCUACGGGAGGCAGCAGUCGGGAAUUUUGGGCAAUGGGCGAAAGCCUGACCCAGCAACGCCGCGUGAAGGAUGAAAUCCCUCGGGAUGUAAACUUCGCAAGAACAGGAAGAAUAAGUAAGGGUUAAUAUCUCUUACGAUGACGGUACUGUUUGUAAGCUCCGGCUAACUCCGUGCCAGCAGCCGCGGUAAUACGGGGGGAGCAAGCGUUGUUCGGAUUUACUGGGCGUAAAGGGCGCGUAGGCGGCCACCGCAAGUCGAUUGUGAAAUCUCCGGGCUUAACCCGGAAAGGUCAACCGAUACUGCGGGGCUAGAGUGCAGAAGGGGCAACUGGAAUUCUCGGUGUAGCGGUGAAAUGCGUAGAUAUCGAGAGGAACACCUGCGGCGAAGGCGGGUUGCUGGGCUGACACUGACGCUGAAGUGCGAAAGCUAGGGGAGCGAACGGGAUUAGAUACCCCGGUAGUCCUAGCCUUAAACGAUGAAUGCUUGGUGUCUGGGGAUUUAUAGUCCCCGGGUGCCGUCGCUAACGC